CAGCCGUAAACUAUGCGCGUUAGGUGUAUCGGUGACCACGAGUUACCGAGGUGCCGAAGGGAAACCGUGAAACGUGCCGCCUGGGAAGUACGGUCGCAAGGCUGAAACUUAAAGGAAUUGGCGGGGGAGCACCACGAACAGGUGGAGCCUGCGGUUUAAUUGGACUCAACGCCGGGAAGCUCACCGGAUAAGACAGCGGAAUGAUUGCCGGGCUGAAGACUCUGCAUGACUAGCUGAGAGGAGGUGCAUGGCGUAGACGUCU
Molecule: ribosomal RNA, 262 nt
Filed under: uncultured archaeon
Lineage: Archaea
Description: partial 16S ribosomal RNA
Rfam family: Archaeal small subunit ribosomal RNA
Source: RNAcentral